AUUUCAAUCCUCGGGACACUAAUAUCGUGCACAUCGUUGGCGGACGUUUCAUUUAGUGUCAUUAUUCGUGAAAAACGACCUCAACGACCUGCAGAUGAGACGGCACUGGGCAGUGAAGAAGAGGACCAGGAGAUUGGGAAAUCCGGAAUGGACACUCGUUGCUGAAGAUCUCUCAUCUCCCAGGCUGGAUAAAUGGAACCAGGAAACCUUCAGGAUGCGUUUGUAGCUGAAAAAGGGCGUUUGUGAAAACCUCUUUGGCAUCGCCUCGUCUGCCCUGCGACAGCAGCCAUCGGAUGGACUCCGGAAUCAACCUAAGCUCACAAAAAGAUGCAACAAGCUGAUUGUCGGCCGAAAUGAAUUGAGGUGCGUCAGCUGCGCCGGCCUCACGUUUUCAUAAUACAUGACGCCGUACCACACACAUAGCCGAAAAG
Neocloeon triangulifer is the source of this 431-nucleotide long non-coding RNA. RefSeq lists it as uncharacterized. The transcript has 3 exons. NCBI's taxonomy places the organism in Eukaryota, Metazoa, Arthropoda, Insecta, Ephemeroptera, Baetidae. The record is from RefSeq and is a predicted model, not a curated record.